Molecule: long non-coding RNA, 1247 nt
Organism: Triticum aestivum (bread wheat)
Lineage: Eukaryota; Viridiplantae; Streptophyta; Magnoliopsida; Poales; Poaceae
Exons: 2
Source: RefSeq, a predicted model, not a curated record
UCGUGUGUUGUGUGUGUCCUGUUCUUUGGGUUUUAGUUUUUGGUUUAGGUGGGUUUGAUGUGUAUAUGGGGGUGUGUGGAGUGGGGGUGUAACUCCGCCUAUGCUAAGAUGAUGGUACGCUUCAUGUUGCAUAGCUGGUCUCAAGCCCGGAAAAAGGAGGAGGGGCCAAACUCUGUUUAUUAUGAAAUUGUGUGACCAUCUUAUCUUCGUAUGGUUGAUUUUACCCAUUACUUGUAGCAUUUGGAGAACCAGAGUAUGCAGCUGGUUUUUGGCAUUUCCCUUUUUGCCUCUUAGAGUUCCAUUUCCAUUUAGUGUUAUUUUUCUCUGACGGUGCAGCUAUAUCCUGGCUGCCAUCCACAUCCAUCUCGUACAUGAUAUGUCCAGCAGAUCUAACAGGCGAAAAAGGUAUCAGCUAUGGCAUGUUUAUGUAUGAAAAAUGUGAUGUAAAGGUGAGGAGUCAGUACCUUCUGUCUGAAGUUUGAUUCAUGAUUUCAUAUCUGGAUUGACAAACUGAAGCUCUCCAUAAUCCCUUAUUUAUCGGUUUCUUUCUUUUCCUAUGUGUAUUAUCGUUGAAAGAAGUGUGAUAUAGUCAAAAUUAAAAUUGAUACUAUAUGGCUUUCCCUGUUUAUUUGUGGUGCCUACAUUGGUACUUGACCACUAUAUAUUCAUGAAUUCAUGAAGUAUAGAAGCUGGUACCUACCUCUAGUCUUUUUAUUAGCCUUUGACUGGGGAAUCAAAGCCAGCAAUUUUCUACUCUAAGGAUUAUGGGAGCUUCUAACAUAUCAGGUUGAGUGUGGGGUUGAUUUAGAAAAUGGAGAUGUGCGGUAGUUGUGUACUUGCGUUAAAGGUUCAGCUUCUUUAAGUGGACACCUAAUUAUGUGCAGGUAGGGGAUGCUGGAGCAUGAUGCCGCACGCCUUGCAGAAGCCCUGUUUUCUUGGGCAAGGGCAGAGCGGGCAAACACAGCCAGGAUUGGAGAUGCUGGAGAAGGCCAAGCUUACCUGCCGGAGACCCCUUGAUGAUGGACCCCGUCAAUUCAUUCUGUCUCUUGAGCCUGCAAUUAUCAACGAGGGUGAAGGCAGAAGGCAGUGGACAAUCAGAACUGAUACAUACACAGAUAGACUGCAAUUGUGCUUGCAUGCAGCUCUGCUUUCUAAACUCUGAAUACUUGCAUGUAUCAAGCUCUGCUUUUGCUCUGUUUUCUCAACUCUAAUCCUCUGGUCUGCUCUGAAUAUUUUUCUGUCGCUUC